This 255-nucleotide long non-coding RNA is filed under the name Elaeis guineensis (African oil palm). RNAcentral's name for it is "long non-coding RNA (EGUI_LNC045646)". Lineage: Eukaryota; Viridiplantae; Streptophyta; Magnoliopsida; Arecales; Arecaceae. The record is from RNAcentral.
AUGGAGGUUAGGGAGCAGCUUCCAAGGUCGGAGGGGAUGCACUCACACCCCGAAAAGUGCAAUCCGAACAAAUUCUACCUCUAUCAUCGUGACCAUGGCCAUGAUACAGAGGAGGUAUUUAGCUUUGAGAUGAGAUCGAGGAGCUCAUCAGACGAGGUCGGCUCGACAGAUUCAUUCGACGUUGACCUGAAGGAAGGAAAGAUCGGCCUAGGGCCCUGCCGUAGUCGGAACUGCCAAGGAGGGAGGAGCAGCCAG